AGUAGGUUUGGUCAUUUAAAAGGCCCAAUUCACAUACUCUUAAAAUUGAUGUUGAUUUGCAUAAUGUCUAUCGGUUCCAGAGAAUUCAGGCGGGAUAGCAAUUGUUUCCAAUCAGCAAAGUUUAAGUUUAUCUUUAUGGAUUUGUGAAUAAAAUUUCAUUUUAUGAAGGGCCCACUAUUUAAAAUUCUGUGGGGCCCGGGUGGCAAUCGCCAGCUAGACACAAGGGCCAGUCUGCCACUGCUUUUUUAAUAUUAUUUAUGAAAUAGACAACCAUUGCUUCUUUAGGAUACACCAAGGUGCCGGACAGAAACAAGUUCCGAAAAGUGCCCUUUCAAUGAAGCUUGCGAUGAGGUGUGCGAAAAUCCAGUUGGCCAUAAAUGCCGAACAUUAGAAAACAUCGCACUAAGGAAAGCAACAACUCAGUCAUCGACAUGCUCUGGAGGCUAUUCAGAUAAAGUUGUGGAUGGAAAUCUUGACACAAACUUUAAGCACGGCUCAUGUAGUCACACAUGUGGUGGAUUGGUAGAUUGGUGGCGGGUGGAUUUUGGAAAAAGUUCAUUAGUGCACUCAGUACAAAUCACAAACAGAGGCGAUUGCUGCGGCGAACGACUUUCAAAUUUCAACAUCAGAAUUGGCAACAGUACGACAGGGAUGGGGAAUGACAAUCCUCUAUGUGCUGUCAAUCAAGGAAUUUCUCAAGGGGCAACGAAAACAUUUCUUUGCAGACCGCGCAU
Molecule: non-coding RNA, 734 nt
Organism: Rhopilema esculentum
Lineage: Eukaryota; Metazoa; Cnidaria; Scyphozoa; Rhizostomeae; Rhizostomatidae
Source: RefSeq, a predicted model, not a curated record